RNAcentral lists this ribosomal RNA (118 nucleotides) under Vulpes vulpes (red fox). The record is from RNAcentral. Lineage: Eukaryota; Metazoa; Chordata; Mammalia; Carnivora; Canidae.
UCAUCAGACCAUGAAGUUGAACGUGUCCUAUCUCAUCUGAUCUCAGAAGCUAAGCAGGGUGAAGCCUGGUUAGGACUUGGAUGUGAGAAACCAUGAAGUCCAAAAGCCAUGGGAUGAC